GGGGAAUAUUGGGCAAUGGACGCAAGUCUGACCCAGCAACGCCGCGUGAAGGAAGAAGGCUUUCGGGUUGUAAACUUCUUUUAAGGGGGAAGAGUAGAAGACGGUACCCCUUGAAUAAGCCACGGCUAACUACGUGCCAGCAGCCGCGGUAAUACGUAGGGGGCAAGCGUUAUCCGGAUUUACUGGGUGUAAAGGGAGCGUAGGUGGUUCGGCAAGUCAGAUGUGAAAGCCCGGGGCUCAACCCCGGGACUGCAUUUGAAACUGUCGGGCUAGAGUGCAGGAGAGGUAAGUGGAAUUCCUAGUGUAGCGGUGAAAUGCGUAGAUAUUAGGAGGAACACCAGUGGCGAAGGCGGCUUACUGGACUGUAACUGACGCUGAGGUGCGAAAGCGUGGGGAGCAAACA
This 403-nucleotide ribosomal RNA is filed under the name uncultured Eubacteriales bacterium. Its description in RNAcentral is "bacterial SSU rRNA". It matches the Rfam family "Bacterial small subunit ribosomal RNA", at positions 356 to 774 of the family's 1533-position model. The record is from RNAcentral. Lineage: Bacteria; Bacillati; Bacillota; Clostridia; Eubacteriales.